GACGAACGCUGGCGGCGUGCCUAAUACAUGCAAGUAGAACGCACAGGAUGCACCGUAGUUUACUACACCGUAUUCUGUGAGUUGCGAACGGGUGAGUAACGCGUAGGUAACCUGCCUGGUAGCGGGGGAUAACUAUUGGAAACGAUAGCUAAUACCGUAUAAGAACAUUUACUGCAUGGUAGAUGUUUAAAAGGUGCAAGAGCAUCACUACCAGAUGGACCUGCGUUGUAUUAGCUAGUUGGUGAGGUAACGGCUCACCAAGGCAACGAUACAUAGCCGACCUGAGAGGGUGAUCGGCCACACUGGGACUGAGACACGGCCCAGACUCCUACGGGAGGCAGCAGUAGGGAAUCUUCGGCAAUGGGGGGAACCCUGACCGAGCAACGCCGCGUGAGUGAAGAAGGUUUUCGGAUCGUAAAGCUCUGUUGUUAAGGAAGAACGUGUGUGAGAGUGGAAAGUUCACACAGUGACGGUACUUAACCAGAAAGGGACGGCUAACUACGUGCCAGCAGCCGCGGUAAUACGUAGGUCCCGAGCGUUGUCCGGAUUUAUUGGGCGUAAAGCGAGCGCAGGCGGUUAGAUAAGUCUGAAGUGAAAGGCAGUGGCUCAACCAUUGUAGGCUUUGGAAACUGUUUAACUUGAGUGCAGAAGGGGAGAGUGGAAUUCCAUGUGUAGCGGUGAAAUGCGUAGAUAUAUGGAGGAACACCGGUGGCGAAAGCGGCUCUCUGGUCUGUAACUGACGCUGAGGCUCGAAAGCGUGGGGAGCGAACAGG
This 773-nucleotide ribosomal RNA is filed under the name uncultured Streptococcus sp. RNAcentral describes it as "bacterial SSU rRNA". It matches the Rfam family "Bacterial small subunit ribosomal RNA", at positions 28 to 776 of the family's 1533-position model. Lineage: Bacteria; Bacillati; Bacillota; Bacilli; Lactobacillales; Streptococcaceae. The record is from RNAcentral.